RNAcentral lists this ribosomal RNA (617 nucleotides) under uncultured Acinetobacter sp. Its description in RNAcentral is "bacterial SSU rRNA". It matches the Rfam family "Bacterial small subunit ribosomal RNA", at positions 28 to 640 of the family's 1533-position model. Lineage: Bacteria; Pseudomonadati; Pseudomonadota; Gammaproteobacteria; Moraxellales; Moraxellaceae. The record is from RNAcentral.
AAUUGACGCUGGCGGCAGGCUUACACAUGCAAGUCUGAGCGGAGCGAAGUGCUUGCACCUUAGCUUAGCGGCGGACGGGUGAGUAAUGCUUAGGAAUCUGCCUAUUAGUGGGGGACAACGUUUCGAAAGGAACGCUAAUACCGCAUACGUCCUACGGGAGAAAGCAGGGGAUCAUUUGACCUUGUGCUAAUAGAUGAGCCUAAGUCGGAUUAGCUAGUUGGUGGGGUAAAGGCCUACCAAGGCGACGAUCUGUAGCGGGUCUGAGAGGAUGAUCCGCCACACUGGGACUGAGACACGGCCCAGACUCCUACGGGAGGCAGCAGUGGGGAAUAUUGGACAAUGGGCGCAAGCCUGAUCCAGCCAUGCCGCGUGUGUGAAGAAGGCCUUAUGGUUGUAAAGCACUUUAAGCGAGGAGGAGGAGCUUCAGGUUAAUACCCUGGAUGCUUGGACGUUACUCGCAGAAUAAGCACCGGCUAACUCUGUGCCAGCAGCCGCGGUAAUACAGAGGGUGCAAGCGUUAAUCGGAUUUACUGGGCGUAAAGCGUGCGUAGGCGGCUAAUUAAGUCAAAUGUGAAAUCCCCGAGCUUAACUUGGGAAUUGCAUUCGAUACUGGUUAG